CAGUCGCCGCGGUAAUACGUAGGUGGCAAGCGUUGUCCGGAAUUAUUGGGCGUAGAGGGCUCGCAGGCGGUUUCUUAAGUCUGAUGUGAAAGCCCCCGGCUCAACCGGGGAGGGUCAUUGGAAACUGGGAAACUUGAGUGCAGAAGAGGAGAGUGGAAUUCCACGUGUAGCGGUGAAAUGCGUAGAGAUGUGGAGGAACACCAGUGGCGAAGGCGACUCUCUGGUCUGUAACUGACGCUGAGGAGCGAAAGCGUGGGGAGCGAACAGGAUUAGAUACCCCCGUAGUCCCUGUCUCUUAUAC
Molecule: ribosomal RNA, 301 nt
Filed under: uncultured bacterium
Lineage: Bacteria
Description: partial 16S ribosomal RNA
Rfam family: Bacterial small subunit ribosomal RNA
Source: RNAcentral